RNAcentral lists this ribosomal RNA (119 nucleotides) under Pteropus alecto (black flying fox). Lineage: Eukaryota; Metazoa; Chordata; Mammalia; Chiroptera; Pteropodidae. The record is from RNAcentral.
GGCUACGGCCACACCACCCUGAACGUGCCCGAUCCAGCCUGAUCUCGGAAGCUAAGCAGGGUCGAGCCUGGUUAGUACGUGGAUGGGAGACCACCUAGGAAGACCAGGCGCUAUAGGCG